This 455-nucleotide ribosomal RNA is filed under the name uncultured bacterium. RNAcentral describes it as "bacterial SSU rRNA". It matches the Rfam family "Bacterial small subunit ribosomal RNA", at positions 340 to 786 of the family's 1533-position model. The record is from RNAcentral.
UACGGGAGGCAGCAGUGGGGAAUAUUGCACAAUGGGCGCAAGCCUGAUGCAGCCAUGCCGCGUGUAUGAAGAAGGCCUUCGGGUUGUAAAGUACUUUCAGCGGGGAGGAAGGCGAUGUGGUUAAUAACCGCGUCGAUUGACGUUACCCGCAGAAGAAGCACCGGCUAACUCCGUGCCAGCAGCCGCGGUAAUACGGAGGGUGCAAGCGUUAAUCGGAAUUACUGGGCGUAAAGCGCACGCAGGCGGUCUGUUAAGUCAGAUGUGAAAUCCCCGGGCUUAACCUGGGAACUGCAUUUUGAAACUGGCAGGCUUGAGUCUCGUAGAGGGGGUAGAAUUCCAGGUGUAGCGGUGAAAUGCGUAGAGAUCUGGAGGAAUACCGGUGGCGAAGGCGGCCCCUGGGACGAAGACUGACGCUCAGGUGCGAAAGCGUGGGGAGCAAACAGGGAUUAGAUACC